AAAAAGUUGCUUUCCAUGAGGGCUUGGUGCUGAGUGUGGCCCCCACAGGGAUGUCUGUGUGGUCACAGAGUACCUGUGGGAGGGCAAUUCUGACCCCAAGGUAGGAAGCAGUGAUCCGGUAAUUCCAGGCACCAAGGCAGAUAAAAAGACCAAGCCACAGCCUCCUCAAGAAGUUUGAAGUCUGCAUUGAACUCAUUAAUUUCCAGCUUUUGGCCGGGCGUGGUGGCUCAUGACUAUAAUUCCAGCACUUUAGGAGGCCAAGGUGGGCGGAUCACCUGAGGUCAGGAGUUUGUGACCAGCCUCACCUACAUGAUGGGGCCCAUGAGUGAGGAGGACAAGAGAGAAAGGAGAAGUUUGGGUGUAAAUCCCAGAGAUUGUUCAUCAUGUGAGAGGAGCCGUGCAUGCAUUUCAUGCCAUACUCACACCAUGGAUGGAGAAAAAAAAUCAAGCUUCACUUUCUGAGAAUGGCCCUGGGGGCACUGCAUCUAGUGCCUGUGCAUCUGCAGACCUGCCGGAUGCCUCCAGGGGAAUCAUGCCACCCCAAGCAAGAAAGGGCCCAGUUGCCAGGAGCCUGGAGGCAGAGAGCUGAGGAGCCAGCCCCUGACAUCAGAAUGGAGCUCAAAGGUUGGCUGGGUGUGACUCUGCCGUGGACAGCUUCUCUUGGGAAAUCUACUUUAAUGAAUCCAGGGGACCAAUUUGUAAUCAGCCCAUCAGAUGUUCAGCGACACUUAGCUGGAAUCUCGUUGCUGGACUCUGUGCCCCGCAGUGGAUGACAGUUCUCCAUCAGGGUCUGCAGUCCUCUACCCUGGACUUGCUGCAUCCUGGAGCCCCCAGCAGUCAGGUACCGGCUCUCAGAACUGCCUGCAUCCCAUUGGCCUGAGCUGCUGUCUGCCAGGGCUGCUGGUAACCAGGCCCACAGGGUUGGAUAUUCCCCCAACAGGGCAGCUCCCAGUCCAAGCCCAACUGUUACCAGCCCAGAAAGAUGUUUCAGGAUACCCCUUUCCUCCCCACUUCCCUGCCCUCUGCAGCUCCAGCUGGUGCACCCCAUCUUUCUCUCCCCCUCCCUGCUAGGCUGGGCCCUAACAGGAGACCUUUGAGGUGGUUGGGCUUGUUCUGCAACCUUGAGUACCCUUGAGCUACUGCCUCACUCCUCAGUUUUCUUCUUCUUAAGGUUUCUAAUUGGACUUUGCCAGUGUAUUUAUUUCAAAACUGGUCAUCUUACUGACCUCGCUCAUAGUCUCUUAUUACUUUUCUAGUUGAUUCUCUUGAGUUUUCUGGAUAAACAAUAAUAUCAUGUACAAAUAAUGAUGACAAUU
RNAcentral lists this long non-coding RNA (1316 nucleotides) under Homo sapiens (human). Its description in RNAcentral is "non-protein coding INSYN1-AS1:33". The record is from RNAcentral. Lineage: Eukaryota; Metazoa; Chordata; Mammalia; Primates; Hominidae.